GCCGGAAAAGUCAAUAAAGUCGCCGGAAAAAACUGAAAGUUGUCGGAAUCGAACGAAAAAGGAUGGGUAGGGUCGGAAUUGAAGGCCGACCAAACUGUCCUGAAGGAGAGAACUGAAAAACUGGCCGGAACUGCCCUCACGCGCCGAGCGUAUUGCCGGCGCGUGGGGGCGCGUAGAUGAUGGUUUUCCGGUGAUUUUUUCUGGGGUUGGGCGGAAUUCUCUUCCGA
This 227-nucleotide long non-coding RNA is filed under the name Nicotiana benthamiana. RNAcentral's name for it is "long non-coding RNA (NBEN_LNC000808)". The record is from RNAcentral. Lineage: Eukaryota; Viridiplantae; Streptophyta; Magnoliopsida; Solanales; Solanaceae.